Molecule: ribosomal RNA, 402 nt
Filed under: uncultured Devosia sp.
Lineage: Bacteria; Pseudomonadati; Pseudomonadota; Alphaproteobacteria; Hyphomicrobiales; Devosiaceae
Description: bacterial SSU rRNA
Rfam family: Bacterial small subunit ribosomal RNA
Source: RNAcentral
UGGGUAAUAUUGGACAAUGGGCGCAAGCCUGAUCCAGCCAUGCCGCGUGAGUGAUGAAGGCCUUAGGGUUGUAAAGCUCUUUCAGUAGGGAAGAUAAUGACGGUACCUACAGAAGAAGCCCCGGCUAACUUCGUGCCAGCAGCCGCGGUAAUACGAAGGGGGCUAGCGUUGUUCGGAUUUACUGGGCGUAAAGCGCACGUAGGCGGAUUGGUCAGUUAGGGGUGAAAUCCUGGAGCUCAACUCCAGAACUGCCCUUAAUACUGCCAGUCUAGAGUCCGGAAGAGGUAAGUGGAACUCCUAGUGUAGAGGUGGAAUUCGUAGAUAUUAGGAAGAACACCAGUGGCGAAGGCGGCUUACUGGUCCGGCACUGACGCUGAGGUGCGAAAGCGUGGGGAGCAAACA